UACGUAGGGCGCAAGCGUUGUCCGGAAUUAUUGGGCGUAAAGAGCUCGUAGGCGGUUUGUCGCGUCUGCCCGUGAAAGUCCGGGGGCUCAACUCCCGGAUCUGCAGUGGGUACGGGCAGACUAGAGUGCGGUAGGGGAGAUUGGAAUUCCUGGUGUAGCGGUGGAAUGCGCAGAUAUCAGGAGGAACACCAAUGGCGAAGGCAGAUCUCUGGGCCGUAACUGACGCUGAGGAGCGAAAGCAUGGGGAGCGAACAGG
Molecule: ribosomal RNA, 256 nt
Filed under: uncultured bacterium
Lineage: Bacteria
Description: partial 16S ribosomal RNA
Rfam family: Bacterial small subunit ribosomal RNA
Source: RNAcentral